RNAcentral lists this long non-coding RNA (1207 nucleotides) under Equus asinus (donkey). RNAcentral's name for it is "lncRNA (ENSEASG00005027497.1)". Lineage: Eukaryota; Metazoa; Chordata; Mammalia; Perissodactyla; Equidae. The record is from RNAcentral.
CUCAUUUUUCUGGAGGCUGGAAGCCUGAGAUCAAGGUGCUGGCAAGUAAGUUUCAUUCUGAGGCCUCUUUUCUUGGCUUGUAGGUGGCUGCCAUCCCGUUAUGUCUUCAUAUGACUUUUUUCUCUCUAGUGUCUCUUCUUAUAAGGGCACUAAUCUCAUCAUGAGGGUCCCCCUCAUGACCUCAUCUAAUCCUGAUUACUUUCCAAAGGCCCCACCUCCCAAUGCCAUCACAUUAGGGGUCAAGCUUCAACAUCUGAAUUUAGGGGGGAGACAUAAUUCUGCCCUUAACACUUUCUGUAACCUCAGGCCCUAGAAGAGUGCCUGGUACAUAGUGGGUACUCAGGAAUUAACUGUUACAUGAGUUCACAGUUGGAAAAACAUGUCAACUAUUAUUUACUAAUAUUUUAAUUUCUCAAAAAAUUUUACCACUAUUAAAUUUUACUCACUAAUAAUUAAUAAGCUAUAGGGAACGUCUCCAAAAACAGAGCAGCUGGUUUUUCACAGCCCUGUUCUAGAACCUUUAUAUAGAAUGAGUAAAAUAUAAAUUUUGCGUGUUCUUUGGAAGUUUAUAUACUAAAAGAGACAUUGUGCAGAUUGACACACACACUCUGCAGAGAGAAGUCCCGAGCGCUGAGGCCAGGGGUACAGCGUUCCAAGCCGCUCACAGUCAAGUCCAUCUCCACCAGGCUGUGGUCACCCCACUGAAUUCACUGUAACUCAUGGCUAUGGAGCUUUUGCUGGCAAACCCGUCUCUCUCAGACAACACUGAAAACCGAGCUAAUGAAAAGCAAGAAAUCAGGCCCCCUGUUCAUCAAGGAAGAUUGGAAAUAGAAUAAAGUUACAAAUGACCGGGAGCUGUGGAGAUGCUGUGAGGGUUUCCAACUCAUUCUUUCCUUUUCUUGUGACACAGACUGAUUCUGCUUGGGAAAUCCACUCAUUGGCACUGUGGAUCACGAAAUACCUUCUCUCGUCAUCUCUAAUACUCUUGUGUAGACACGGACCUAUCUUUUAUUCUGUUCACUUAAGAACAGUUUAAUUUACCACAUUAAUCAGGAAAAUACAAUCAUAACCCUGAAGAGGCAUUAAUAAUUCUAGUGGGUGUUUUCUAGUGUUUUGAACAUUCGUCUCUGCGGAGUCUCUUUAACAUGCCCACACACACAGAUAUUCAUAUUAGAAUCCCCUGGACACCUUUGCAACCCUGCAUCUG